CCUACGGGUGGCAGCAGUGGGGAAUAUUGGGCAAUGGGCGCAAGCCUGACCCAGCAACGCCGCGUGAAGGAAGAAGGCUUUCGGGUUGUAAACUUCUUUUCUCAGGGACGCAGCAAGUGACGGUACCUGACGAAUAAGCCACGCCUAACUACGUGCCAGCAGCCGCGGGAAUACGUAGGUGGCAAGCGUUAUCCGGAUUUACUUGGUGUAAAGGGCGGGUAGGCGGGAAAGCAAGUCAGAUGUGAAAACCAUGGGUUCAACCUGUGGCCUGCAUUUGAAACUGUUUGUCUUGAGUACUGGAGAGGCAGACGGAAUGCCUGGUGUAGCGGUGAAAUGCGUAGAUAUUAGGAGGAACACCAGUGGCGAAGGCAGUCUGCUGGACAGCAACUGACGCUGAGGCGCGAAAGCGUGGGUAGCAAACAGGAUUAGAUACCCCGGUAGUC
Molecule: ribosomal RNA, 443 nt
Filed under: uncultured bacterium
Lineage: Bacteria
Description: partial 16S ribosomal RNA
Rfam family: Bacterial small subunit ribosomal RNA
Source: RNAcentral